UCCCUGAUAGCUCAGUUGGUAAAGAAUCCGCCUGCCAUGUGGAAAACCAGGGUUCAAUCCCUGGGUUGGGAA
This 72-nucleotide transfer RNA is filed under the name Bos taurus (domestic cattle). It matches the Rfam family "tRNA". From Rfam's summary of the family: Transfer RNA (tRNA) molecules are approximately 80 nucleotides in length. Their secondary structure includes four short double-helical elements and three loops (D, anti-codon, and T loops). The record is from Rfam by way of RNAcentral. Lineage: Eukaryota; Metazoa; Chordata; Mammalia; Artiodactyla; Bovidae. RNAcentral also lists the same sequence under 2 other names.